AGUCAUUAGUGAAGAGAUCGUGUGUGAACAGAAAAUGUUCUAACCCUGAGCACUAGGGGGCAGCAGUGAGUCAGACCGGAAGUGAGCGCUGUGCUGUGUUGCUGUGUUAGCGUUAGCUCUGAACAGAAGUGAGACACUCUUUUCCCCAAAGCUUCGCCUUAAAGCGGACAGAGCGCAGUGAAACAUGGCAGAAGUGAAGCUGAAGGAGGAGCAGGAGCUGUGGGAGCCCGCAGAGGUGGAAAACAGAACAAUCAAAGAGGACCCAGACUGUGGAGGUGUUGAGAGUCCACAUGAGGCUGCUCCCAGUCUGGUCCAGAUUAAAGAGGAACCAACGGAGAUUCAAAUCAAACAGGAGUCGAUCCAAGUUUUCCCAGUCAUCGUCUCUGUGAGGAGUGAGAAAGAAGAGUCUCUGCUUCAUGAAACAGUGAAAGAAGAGAACAGAGAGGACAGAGCAGAAGUGGAUAAUUCCUCUGACACUGACGACUCUGCAGACUGGACUCCUUCAGCUGAAAGUCCCACUCCACAAACAAACACUGAACAGGUGCAGGAGCCGGCUCAAGGAACAAUGUGAUUGAAGAGGGAGGUCCAGACAAACUGCACAAAUGUUCUCACUGUGGGAAGAGGUUUUCGACUCCUUCCAAUUUAAGGAUCCAUGUACGAACUCACACAGGAGAGAAGCCAUUCAAGUGUUCUGUUUGUGGGAAAAGUUUUUCACGAAAUGGUUCUCUGACAAACCACAUGAGGACUCACACGGGCGAGAAACCAUUCAAAUGCUCUGUUUGUUCAAUUAGUUUUUCACAAAAGGUUAAUCUGAUGAGCCACAUGAGGAAUCACACAGGAGAUAAACCAUUCAGAUGCCCUGUUUGUGCAAUUAGUUGUUCACAAAUAGUUAUCUGACAAAACACAUGAGGACCCACACAGGGGAGAAACCAUUCAGAUGCUCUGUUUGUGGAAAGAGGUUUUCACAAAAAGUUGUGUGACAAACCACAUGAGGACUCACACGGGCGAGAAACCAUUCAGAUGCUCUGUUUGUUCAAUUAGUUUUUCACAAAAGGGUAAUCUGACAAAACACAUGAGGCUCCAUGUAAAAGAGAAAAAUGAAACAUUUACAACCAAUUCAUCCAAGUGUUACUUACUUUUAAGUCCAAUAUACUUAUAUACAUUAUAAUUAAAAUAGUCCACAUGACCAUUUAUAUAAUUUACAACAAGCAUACUAUUUUUUUGUCAAUAGCCUAAACAAUUUCUUGCUAUUUGCUCUUAAUUUAAUUGUGGGUUAGUCUGUUUGUGAGAUAAGUUCUAAUCUUUAUCCAAAACAUUCCCAAACAUAUAAGCCUCCUAAACUGAGCUGCAACGACUCUUGUCUCUUUACAAGCAGCACACGGCUCACCUUCAUCUCUGUGGAGGCAAAGAUGUGUGAAUCUGGAGGUGAGGAAAUUUCUGUAUUAACUGCAUCAGAUUAUGUAGCAGCAAGGGAAUAGAGUGAUUAGGGCUGCGGCUAACACAAUGUUAACGGAGAAAAAGCAAUAGUCCUUUGCGGUGACUGCAUUAUAAACUUUCAUAUUUUCACUGCACAUCCAUGAUCUACGGCGUAACUUAACUAGACUGAGAAGUAAACAAAAGCAUGCGGCUGAGCGGAUGUCGCCGGCAUAUUUUGCCGCUCCAUGAACUUCUAUGGGCCGCGCCCCAUAGAAGUAAAUGGAGGAGACCAGUGGUUUCCAACCUGGGCCGCCCCCAUGUUGGAAACCACUGUCUAUUACCUUAUU
Molecule: long non-coding RNA, 1763 nt
Filed under: Neogobius melanostomus (round goby)
Lineage: Eukaryota; Metazoa; Chordata; Actinopteri; Gobiiformes; Gobiidae
Description: lncRNA (ENSNMLG00000001240.1)
Source: RNAcentral